AUUGAACGCUGGCGGCAUGCUUUACACAUGCAAGUCGAACGGUAACAGGCCUUCGGGUGCUGACGAGUGGCGAACGGGUGAGUAAUGCAUCGGAACGUGCCCAAUCGUGGGGGAUAACGUAGCGAAAGUUACGCUAAUACCGCAUAAGCCCUGAGGGGGAAAGCAGGGGAUCGCAAGACCUUGCGCGAAAUGGAGCGGCCGAUGUCAGAUUAGCUAGUUGGUGGGGUAAAGGCCUACCAAGGCGACGAUCUGUAGCGGGUCUGAGAGGAUGAUCCGCCACACUGGGACUGAGACACGGCCCAGACUCCUACGGGAGGCAGCAGUGGGGAAUUUUGGACAAUGGGCGCAAGCCUGAUCCAGCCAUGCCGCGUGCGGGACGAAGGCC
Molecule: ribosomal RNA, 385 nt
Filed under: uncultured bacterium
Lineage: Bacteria
Description: bacterial SSU rRNA
Rfam family: Bacterial small subunit ribosomal RNA
Source: RNAcentral